GCUUUCGUGGUGUAGUGGUCUGCACGCCAGGUUGUGGUCCUGGAAGUGUCGGUUCGAUCCCGACCGAGAGCCC
Molecule: transfer RNA, 73 nt
Filed under: Actinomadura coerulea
Lineage: Bacteria; Bacillati; Actinomycetota; Actinomycetes; Streptosporangiales; Thermomonosporaceae
Description: tRNA-His
Rfam family: tRNA
About the family: Transfer RNA (tRNA) molecules are approximately 80 nucleotides in length. Their secondary structure includes four short double-helical elements and three loops (D, anti-codon, and T loops).
Source: RNAcentral